GGAAUAUUGGUCAAUGGGCGCAAGCCUGAACCAGCCAUGCCGCGUGCAGGAAGGCGGUCCUAUGGAUCGUAAACUGCUUUUAUUUGGGAAUAAACCUCUUUACGUGUAGAGCGCUGAAGGUACUAAAUGAAUAAGCACCGGCUAACUGCGUUCCAGCAGCCGCGGUAAUACGGAGGGUGCAAGCGUUAUCCGGAAUCAUUGGGUUUAAAGGGUCCGCAGGCGGACUUAUAAGUCAGUGGUGAAAUCCUACAGCUUAACUGUAGAACUGCCAUUGAUACUGUAAGUCUUGAAUUCGGUCGAAGUGGGCGGAAUGUGACAUGUAGCGGUGAAAUGCUUAGAUAUGUCACAGAACACCGAUAGCGAAGGCAGCUCACUAGGCCGAUAUUGACGCUCAGGGACGAAAGCGUGGGGAGCAUA
This 417-nucleotide ribosomal RNA is filed under the name uncultured bacterium. RNAcentral's name for it is "bacterial SSU rRNA". It matches the Rfam family "Bacterial small subunit ribosomal RNA", at positions 358 to 772 of the family's 1533-position model. The record is from RNAcentral.